Molecule: ribosomal RNA, 497 nt
Filed under: uncultured bacterium
Lineage: Bacteria
Description: partial 16S ribosomal RNA
Rfam family: Bacterial small subunit ribosomal RNA
Source: RNAcentral
GAUGAACGCUGGCGGCGUGCCUAAUACAUGCAAGUCGAGCGAACGGACGAGAAGCUUGCUUCUCUGAUGUUAGCGGCGGACGGGUGAGUAACACGUGGAUAACCUACCUAUAAGACUGGGAUAACUUCGGGAAACCGUAGCUAAUACUGGAUAAUAUUUUGAACCGCAUGGUUCAAAAGUGAAAGACGGUCUUGCUGUCACUUAUAGAUGGAUCCGCACUGCAUUAGCUAGUUGGUAAGGUAACGGCUUACCAAGGCAACGAUGCAUAGCCGACCUGAGGGGAUGAUCGGCCACACUGGAACUGAGACACGGUCCAGACUCCUACGGGAGGCAGCAGUAGGGAAUCUUCCGCAAUGGGCGAAAGCCUGACGGAGCAACGCCGCGUGAGUGAUGAAGGUCUUCGGAUCGUAAAACUCUGUUAUUAGGGAAGAACAUAUGUGUAAGUAACUGUGCACAUCUUGACGGUACCUAAUCAGAAAGCCACGGCUAACUACGUG